Molecule: unclassified non-coding RNA, 240 nt
Filed under: soil metagenome
Description: partial contains 5.8S ribosomal RNA, internal transcribed spacer 2, and large subunit ribosomal RNA
Source: RNAcentral
AACGCACGAGACCUGCGGACCUGCGGAGGGAUCAUUACAGAGUUGCAAAACUCCAAACCAUUGUGAACUUACCUUUGCCGUUGCUUCGGCGGGCGGCCCGGGUCCCGACCCGGCGCCCCCCGGCCCCGUCAGGGGCGCCCGCCGGAGGUAAACCAAACUCUUGAAUUGUAUGGCCUCUCUGAGUCUUCUGUACUGAAUAAGUCAAAACUUUCAACAACGGAUCUCUAGAUCGGAAGAGCA